This 1236-nucleotide unclassified non-coding RNA is filed under the name Leishmania donovani. Its description in RNAcentral is "gene:LdHU3.28.4280(CDS-product:hypothetical_prote in_conserved)". The record is from RNAcentral. Lineage: Eukaryota; Euglenozoa; Kinetoplastea; Trypanosomatida; Trypanosomatidae.
AUUCACGAGUGUGGGGGCGCGUACAAAUAAUUUAGGGACGCGCUGUCACUGCCGCCGCUGCACAGACCUCCACGGGAAGAGCGCGCAGAUAAGUAGGCACACACACAGUUUCACGCGAUAAGGCGAACAUCAACGCACCUUUCCUACCACAGCCGACUGUGUGGAUGAGCCGAGGAAUGAAGCGCGGCCGCAUCGAGACCUCCUCGCCGGCACCCAGCAGCCGAGAGAGCUCUUCUCCCCCUCCGCUCGCAGAGGCGCUGCCGGCCACAUCUAAGGUGCGAACGCCAAAAAGACAGGAAGCAAAGAAGUACCUGCCAGAUACGCACACAUCCGAGAGCGCGGAUGCUUCAUCUGUUCACAGCGAUGAGUCGGUUGUCAUGGAGAACUCUCGAGAGCGGGAGGACGCAGUCCUCCUUGAAGGCUGCGAUCUCAGUGGUGACGCGCUGAAGAGCUUCCUUCAAAAGAACUUUGUGGACUACAUAGAGGAUGAACUGUUUGAUGUAGCUGCUUUGGAAGCAGUGGAAGACUAAGAUGUACCCUUCACCUCUUGUGUUGCAACUCGUCUUUUCCGCCACCCAAUCAUAGUGAAGCACACGCGCUGCGCGCGUUCAGCGGCGGUGCUCAGUGGAGGAAUACUGUCCGUGUACGCAUUCAGCAGUGACGAAAUGGACGCAGCUAUGCUCUUUCGUCGUGCCGGCAGCAUGCACUUCCCCUCUCCUUUUCCCUCUUCGGCGAAUUCUCCGUCGUCCGCGAUGACUGUCCGUGUGCUAACUACCACACCGUCUUAUCUAUCCCCUCCAGGUGUAUUUUUUGCGUUGUUGGGUGUUACUGGAGUGGUGCGGUGAACGUGACUCAUGCCGAGACGUUCGUGUCAGCAGGAUGCCGGGGCAGAAUUUCUGGGUAGGCAAUAAGCUGAAAAAUGCCAGGUGAAGCGGUGGGACGGAGAGGGGAAGGUGUCCAAACUAAAGGCACAAACUCACUCAGAGGCUUUGGCUGAUGUCUUUUUUCUUCUUUUCGUGUCUUUUAGAUGUUGUCUUUGCCGUCCCCCCUAUCGUGGGUGAAUUCAUUUUUGCACCACUGUGAGGGCGUGGAGGCCGUCGACGUUUGUGAGAUCGAAAUGAAGAAAUGGAUUUUCAACUGAAUCGAGUCUCUAUCUCCGCAUCUCUCUCGACUUUCUCCCAAAGAUGACCUGUCGCUCAUUUGUUGGCUGGAUGUGAGUGUGGGGACGUGGUCAAG